GACGAACGCUGGCGGCGUGCUUAACACAUGCAAGUCGAACGGACAGGCCCGGCUUUUGCGGGGUGGUCGAGUGGCGAACGGGUGAGUAACUCGUGAGUGAGCUGCCCUCGGCUUAGGGAUAAUUACAGGAAACUGGGGCUUAUACCGGAUAAGAGCUCCUGCAGCAUGGGGGGGGUUGGGAAGUUUCGGCGGUUGGGGAUGGAAUCGCGGCGUAUCAGCUUGUUGGAGGGGUAGUGGCUUACCAAGGCUUUGCCGGGUAGCCGGGCUGCGAGGGUAACCCGCCACAUUGGGACUGAAAUGCGGCACAGACUCCUACGGGAGGCAGGAGUGGAGAAUAUUGCACUAUGGGCGGAAGGCUGAUGCAGUAACGCCGCGUGGGGGAUGACGUGCAUCGCUUUGUAUUGCGCUGUCGUCUGUGAGGAAGAGUGAAUGACGGUAAUGGGUAAAGAAGCACCGGCUAACUACGUG
Molecule: ribosomal RNA, 468 nt
Filed under: uncultured bacterium
Lineage: Bacteria
Description: partial 16S ribosomal RNA
Rfam family: Bacterial small subunit ribosomal RNA
Source: RNAcentral